CCGACGUACAUUUCAGCUAGAUUCUCGUAAUACUUCAUCUUAUCGUGCGAAAUUUUGAUACGUUCUUGGAAUGCGAUGGCGUACUCGUAGUCACCUGCGUUUAUGGAUUUCGCCACACGGGAAUUUGCGCCGUCAGCACCGAUAACGGCGUCAACUUCGAGAGUACGUUUCUCGCCGGCGCCGUUAGUUUUGGAAUCGUACGAUGUGUAGUGAAGAACGUAAGGUGCAUUCGCGGCUUUCGGCAUGUCCAUUUUGAGAAACAAGCCAUUGAGAACGGCAGCUCCGGCGUCGGCAGCACGGCCACGGAGGUAAGCAUCGAGUACUUCGCGGCGCACCAUACCGAUAUACUCGUGAGGCUUUAAUGUCUGUCCGAUAUCUACAGCAACGUUGGAUGGAGAAAUCAUCUUCAUCUUGGUAACUUUUCUGUCGAUGAUAUCAAGAGGAAGAUCGAAUUCCCCCACCAUACAAAGCGGAAUAGCACCACCGCAGGGUUUGCAGUUAUCC
Molecule: long non-coding RNA, 504 nt
Filed under: Capsicum annuum
Lineage: Eukaryota; Viridiplantae; Streptophyta; Magnoliopsida; Solanales; Solanaceae
Description: long non-coding RNA (CANN_LNC004027)
Source: RNAcentral